RNAcentral lists this long non-coding RNA (260 nucleotides) under Setaria viridis. RNAcentral describes it as "long non-coding RNA (SVIR_LNC007055)". Lineage: Eukaryota; Viridiplantae; Streptophyta; Magnoliopsida; Poales; Poaceae. The record is from RNAcentral.
GGGGAUGUUCGGAGUUUUGGAUAGUUCGGGUACUGGGUACAUUUACCCGAAUUACCCAAAUUAACAUCGGGUAAUACGAGUCACUACCCGAACUAAACAUCGAGCAGUGCGGGUUCGGGUUGUUCGGGUCCGGGUCCGGGUAGUUUGGGGUCGGGUAACGGGUAGCGGGUAAUUUGCCUAGAUUGACCUCUGUCGCUACUACCCGUAGCAGAACUCGAGUAAUUGCUUCAAGCAAAAACUCGUCUACUACUCGAGCCAAU